RNAcentral lists this long non-coding RNA (1510 nucleotides) under Parus major (Great Tit). RNAcentral describes it as "lncRNA (ENSPMJG00000010567.1)". Lineage: Eukaryota; Metazoa; Chordata; Aves; Passeriformes; Paridae. The record is from RNAcentral.
UGAGGAGUUAGAUUUAGACAUUUUGCUAGAAAGCAUUGCAGUUCUGCACUGGAAAGGGGAUGCCCUUUAAGAAACAGCGCUUCUGUGAUGUACAUAGGCUGCUAAGGAGUAAUGAGUUCUGUGUUUGUUUUUUUUUAUUGGUGGCAGAGAAGCUUGUCCCAUUUUGCAAGUUUAUUGAAAAAGGCAGGAGUUAAAAAAAACCUCAACACCUUGAAAACUCAAUUUUAAUUUAUAGUGCAGCUUUCUGCUCUCUUAGACACCAAAGACAAAUUUCCUAUUGAUUUUAUCAGGAGCAAUAUAAGGGCCUGAAAAGGUAAGUAAUGCUCUUUCUUCCUCAUGUGAAAACAUGUUAUUGGGUUCCUCCCUGGAUAGUUUUGGCUAUAUCAUUACAAACAUACACCAAGGACUGAAUGUGGCCUCGCAAUGAAAAACAUUUUGUUUAUUCAAUUUGCAGAUCUCAGAAUGAAGACCCUACUGGGCCUGAAUUGGGGAGGAGGAAUACAGAGCAGGCAGCCAUGCAAGACUUGGUGUGAGAACCAUAUGGAAGGGAAGAAGUAUCCUAGACCCAAGAUGCAAGUUUAUGGAUUGCAAGACAGGAGGCCCAACACUGAAACAGCAUCUAACAAAAGACAAUUAUUGCUGUCAAGCCCUGCAGGGACAGGUUUCAAGUGGCAGCAAUGUGGUAUAAAUGCAGCAUGUGGAAUACAGGGCCUGAGGGAUGCUCAGCACCCAGCAUUACAGGAUUCUGCCUUUUUCUUGUCUUUGGUCUGCUAAAACAUUGCCAAUCCAACAUCACUGGAAGAAGUAUUGAUUCCAGUAGCAGUAAGGUUUAACUAGAGUUCUUGGCUAACAUGACUACUAGCAAGAUUUGGAUCCUUCCACCUCUAGAUCCCCCAGAUAUGUGCUGACCCUCCUCACAGUUAAGACCUCUGUGUCAUGCCCUCUUUCUGCUUGAAAAGGAAUGAAAUGCAAAUUGUAAUGAAACUCCUUCUCCCCUUGAGAGGGAUCCUGCAGCAUGGGUGUAGUGCACUGGUAGAACAUAACAAAGAGAGAAUUUCCAGCUAAGCUACUUAAGGGUCACAAUAUCUUGAAGGAGAGGGAAUAUUUCAAUGCAGAGAAGAUCCUAGACUUCUCUUUGGAGCUCCAGACUCCUUUAUGCAUAAGAAUAAUAUGUUAAUUACUUAGACCAACAAGUUUUGCAUCUCAGCUGCAGUCUUAUAAUAAGCUGAUAGACAGAGAGGAAAUGGUCUGAGAGCACAAGUUGCCCUUGUAUUGGGAAAAUCAUAGGCCAGCAGAGGAGCUGAAAGAAUGGUGCAGAUGAAAGUGAGGGAGAGAAAUAUGAAGCGUUAAAUAGGCAUAUGUGGUCUGCUAGAUUGUUUGGAGAAGAAAGAUGAAGCUAUAAAAUCAAGAUUUAGAUAUUUGCAAGUCCAAGAGAGGAUGGCUCCCAUUUUGCAGUUCAGCUUUGAGUCUCUUUAAUAAAAAAAAGUUGGGCUUAGACUGAAGUUAAUGA